This 250-nucleotide ribosomal RNA is filed under the name uncultured Oscillospiraceae bacterium. RNAcentral describes it as "partial 16S ribosomal RNA". It matches the Rfam family "Bacterial small subunit ribosomal RNA", at positions 89 to 339 of the family's 1533-position model. Lineage: Bacteria; Bacillati; Bacillota; Clostridia; Eubacteriales; Oscillospiraceae. The record is from RNAcentral.
UGUUUAGUGGCGGACGGGUGAGUAACGCGUGAGUAACCUGCCUUGGAGUGGGGAAUAACACAGUGAAAACUGUGCUAAUACCGCAUGACAUAUUGGUGUCGCAUGGCACUGAUAUCAAAGAUUUAUCGCUCUGAGAUGGACUCGCGUCUGAUUAGAUAGUUGGCGGGGUAACGGCCCACCAAGUCGACGAUCAGUAGCCGGACUGAGAGGUUGGCCGGCCACAUUGGGACUGAGACACGGCCCAGACUCC